UACGGAGGAUGCGAGCGUUAUCCGGAUUUAUUGGGUUUAAAGGGUGCGUAGGCGGAACAUUAAGUCAGCGGUAAAAUUUCGGGGCUCAACCCCGUCGUGCCGUUGAAACUGACACCCUUGAGUGAGUGAGAAGUAAGCGGAAUGCGUGGUGUAGCGGUGAAAUGCAUAGAUAUCACGCAGAACCCCGAUUGCGAAGGCAGCAUACCGGCGCUCAACUGACGUUGAGGCACGAAAGCGUGGGGAGCAAACAGG
RNAcentral lists this ribosomal RNA (252 nucleotides) under uncultured Bacteroidales bacterium. Its description in RNAcentral is "partial 16S ribosomal RNA". It matches the Rfam family "Bacterial small subunit ribosomal RNA", at positions 524 to 776 of the family's 1533-position model. The record is from RNAcentral. Lineage: Bacteria; Pseudomonadati; Bacteroidota; Bacteroidia; Bacteroidales.